Molecule: ribosomal RNA, 460 nt
Filed under: uncultured bacterium
Lineage: Bacteria
Description: partial 16S ribosomal RNA
Rfam family: Bacterial small subunit ribosomal RNA
Source: RNAcentral
CCUACGGGGUGCAGCAGUGAGGAAUAUUGGUCAAUGGGCGUAAGCCUGAACCAGCCAAGUCGCGUGAGGGAUGAAGGUUCUAUGGAUCGUAAACCUCUUUUAUAAGGGAAUAAAGUGUGGGACGUGUCCUGUUUUGUAUGUACCUUAUGAAUAAGGAUCGGCUAACUCCGUGCCAGCAGCCGCGGUAAUACGGAGGAUCCGAGCGUUAUCCGGAUUUAUUGGGUUUAAGGGGUGCGUAGGUGGCCUUUUAAGACAGCGGUGAAAGUCUGUGGCUCAACCAUAGAAUUGCCGUUGAAACUGGGAGGCUUGAGUAUGUUUGAGGCAGGCGGAAUGCGUGGUGUAGCGGUGAAAUGCUUAGAUAUCACGCAGAACCCCGAUUGCGAAGGCAGCCUGCCAAGCCAUGACUGACGCUGAUGCACGAAAGCGUGGGGAUCAAACAGGAUUAGAUACCCGAGUAGUC